CCUGGCCUUGACAUCUGUCGAUCCUGCAGAGAUGNGGGAGUGCCUNCGGAACGANUGAGACAGGUGCUGCAUGGCUGUCGUCAGCUCGUGUCGUGAGAUGUUGGGUUAAGUCCCGCAACGAGCGCAACCCUUGCCCUUAGUUGCCAUCAUUCAGUUGGGAACUCUAAGGGGACCGCCGGUGACAAACCGGAGGAAGGUGGGGAUGACGUCAAGUCAUCNUGGCCCUUAUGGCCAGGGCUACACACGUGCUACAAUGGUCGGUACANAGGGUCGCCAACCCGCGAGGGGGAGCCAAUCCCAAAAAGCCGGUCGUAGUCCGGAUCGCAGUCUGCAACUCGGCUGCGUGAAGUCGGAAUCGCUCAGUAAUCGCGAAUCAGCGAUGUACGCGGUGAAUACGUUCCC
This 402-nucleotide ribosomal RNA is filed under the name uncultured soil bacterium. Its description in RNAcentral is "bacterial SSU rRNA". It matches the Rfam family "Bacterial small subunit ribosomal RNA", at positions 974 to 1375 of the family's 1533-position model. The record is from RNAcentral.